UACGUAGGGUGCGAGCGUUGUCCGGAAUUAUUGGGCGUAAAGAGCUUGUAGGCGGUUUGUCGCGUCUGCUGUGAAAUCUCAAGGCUCAACCUUGAGCUUGCAGUGGGUACGGGCAGACUAGAGUGUGGUAGGGGGAGACUGGAAUUCCUGGUGUAGCGGUGAAAUGCGCAGAUAUCAGGAGGAACACCGAUGGCGAAGGCAGGUCUCUGGGCCACUACUGACGCUGAGAAGCGAAAGCAUGGGGAGCGAACAGG
RNAcentral lists this ribosomal RNA (254 nucleotides) under uncultured bacterium. RNAcentral describes it as "partial 16S ribosomal RNA". It matches the Rfam family "Bacterial small subunit ribosomal RNA", at positions 524 to 776 of the family's 1533-position model. The record is from RNAcentral.